GGUGUUGGACAAUCUAUUGGAAAACUCACUGCCUUAUCUUAAAUACAACUAUAAAAAAUAUAGGGCAAUAAGAACCAAGAAAAACCAGGAUAAUGGUCAUGCUUCAGUUCAAUUCCAAGGUGGAGAAAGAGUACCUAAACAUUCUGCAAGUGUUGUUGAGGAGCUAGAAGAUGGCAUGUUUGAUGGGAUUGUCAGUAUAUGGACUCGACGACCAGAUUCAGACUAUACUUAGAUUAUCAGAGAGACAUCACAAUAGCUUGAUAUUUAUCUUUGACAAUGUUAUCGGAGUUGCCUUGACCUAUACUCGACGGGGUCGAGUUCUUUCAACCCUGGGAGAAUUGGUGGGGACACCGAACCGGAAACAUUGUUUACGCACGCAUAUGAUCAUAAACGAUGGAGAAUAGCCCAAACCAUUGAGAAAUUGAGCUUUACCUUAUGUUUUUUGGUUUAAUUUAGAUGAACUUUUAGUUGAGGUUUAUUAACUUGACUUUAUUUAUUGGGUUUGAUUUAAUUAUUAUUUGGUAUUUUAUUUAGUGGGUCAUAAGCCCAAUCGCUUGUUCUAGUUAGGGUUUUAGUAUUUAUAUCAUACAUUUCUAAAUGUUAAAUAAUUUUUUUAUGAUUAAUAAAAAAUAUUGCAGAUUAUACAUAUCUUCAUUCCCCGUUCUUUUCUUCCUUUGCUUUUUUUUUUUCUAAAAGUUUCUCUCUUUCCCUUAUUUAAUUCUUUUGUUUGUUGUCCUGCAUCAAUACCUGUGAAUCAAAAGCAAAUCAUCAUGUUUAUACAGCAUUUAAAUAAUUCCUUCCAGGAUAAGAAAUGCUAGGAAUGAUCAUGAUGUUCGCUUGUGCAUUGCCCCUUGCAUUUAUCUUUGCUGCUGUGGUAAGAUUUAACUAGUACUUUCACCUGAUUGUAGAUGAUGUUUGAGGGUGAUUUGGAUUUUUGUUACUGAA
This is a long non-coding RNA of Populus nigra (black poplar), 945 nucleotides long. RefSeq lists it as uncharacterized. Lineage: Eukaryota; Viridiplantae; Streptophyta; Magnoliopsida; Malpighiales; Salicaceae. The transcript is spliced from 3 exons. The record is from RefSeq and is a predicted model, not a curated record.